CGCCUGGCCGUGGCCGGCAUGAGCAUGAAGGACGAGUUCGCGGACGCUGCCGGGGCCAGCAAGCUCUACUCGGCGUCUGCCGAGGGCUGCGGCGGCAGCGGCAAGCUCUCCCUCUUCGGCGAGGACGAUGACGACGCGGGCCUCUUCCUCCGGCCCUCGCUGCAGCUGCCAACCGCGCACGACGGCGGCUUCACGGCGUCGGGGCCGGCCGAGUACCAGCAGCAGUCGCCGUCGUCGUUCCCGUUCCACUCGAGCUGGCCGUCGUCCGCGACGGAGCAGACCUGCAGCAGCUCCCAAUGGUGGGAAUUCGAGUCCCCGAGCGAGUAAGUAGAGCCAUCGG
RNAcentral lists this long non-coding RNA (340 nucleotides) under Hordeum vulgare. RNAcentral's name for it is "long non-coding RNA (HVUL_LNC013591)". The record is from RNAcentral. Lineage: Eukaryota; Viridiplantae; Streptophyta; Magnoliopsida; Poales; Poaceae.